RNAcentral lists this ribosomal RNA (442 nucleotides) under uncultured bacterium. Its description in RNAcentral is "partial 16S ribosomal RNA". It matches the Rfam family "Bacterial small subunit ribosomal RNA", at positions 338 to 795 of the family's 1533-position model. The record is from RNAcentral.
CCUACGGGAGGCAGCAGUAGGGAAUCUUUCACAAUGGGCGAAAGCCUGAUGGAGCAACGCCGCGUGCAGGAUGAAGGCCUUCGGGUUGUAAACUGCUUUUAUAAGCGAGAAAUAUGAUGGUAACUUAUGAAUAAGGAUCGGCUAACUACGUGCCAGCAGCCGCGGUCAUACGUAGGAUCCGAGCAUUAUCCGGAGUGACUGGGUGUAAAGAGUUGCGUAGGUGGCAUAAUAAGUAGCUAGUGAAAUCUGGUGGCUCAACCAUUCAGACUAUUAGCUAAACUGUUAAGCUCGAGACCGUUAGGGGUAACUGGAAUGUCUAGUGUAGGAGUGAAAUGCGUAGAUAUUAGAAAGAACACCAAUAGCGUAGGCAGGUUACUGGGACGGUUCUGACACUAAGGCACGAAAGCGUAGGGAGCAAACGGGAUUAGAUACCCCAGUAGUC